RNAcentral lists this ribosomal RNA (500 nucleotides) under uncultured bacterium. RNAcentral describes it as "partial 16S ribosomal RNA". It matches the Rfam family "Bacterial small subunit ribosomal RNA", at positions 30 to 523 of the family's 1533-position model. The record is from RNAcentral.
AUUGAACGCUGGCGGCAUGCCUUACACAUGCAAGUCGAACGGUAACAGGGAGCCUGCUCCGCUGACGAGUGGCGAACGGGUGAGUAAUGUAUCGGAACGUACCUUUUAGUGGGGGAUAACGUAGCGAAAGUUACGCUAAUACCGCAUAUUCUCUGAGGAGGAAAGCAGGGGACCUUCGGGCCUUGCGCUAAUAGAGCGGCUGAUAUCAGAUUAGCUAGUUGGUGAGGUAAAGGCUCACCAAGGCGACGAUCUGUAGCGGGUCUGAGAGGACGAUCCGCCACACUGGAACUGAGACACGGUCCAGACUCCUACGGGAGGCAGCAGUGGGGAAUUUUGGACAAUGGGCGAAAGCCCGAUCCAGCAAUGCCGCGUGCAGGAUGAAGGCCUUCGGGUUGUAAACUGCUUUUGUACGGAACGAAAAGCUCUGGGUUAAUACCCUGGGGUCAUGACGGUACCGUAAGAAUAAGCACCGGCUAACUACGUGCCAGCCGCCGCCGUAA